GAUGAACGCUGGCGGCGUGCCUAACACAUGCAAGUCGAACGGAGCUGUCGGAGCUUGCUUUGACAGCUUAGUGGCGAACGGGUGAGUAACGCGUGAGCAACCUGCCCUUGAGAGGGGGAUAACAUCGGGAAACCGAUGCUAAUACCGCAUAAAAUAUGCAGAUGGCAUCAUUGGCAUAUCAAAGGAGAAAUCCGCUCAAGGAUGGGCUCGCGUCUGAUUAGAUAGUUGGUGAGGUAACGGCCCACCAAGUCGACGAUCAGUAGCCGGACUGAGAGGUUGACCGGCCACAUUGGGACUGAGACACGGCCCAGACUCCUACGGGAGGCAGCAGUGGGGAAUAUUGGGCAAUGGGGGGAACCCUGACCCAGCAACGCCGCGUGAAGGAAGAAGGCCUCGGUUGUAACUUCUUGUACAGGGAAGAAGGAAGUAGACGGUACCCUGAGAACAAGCUCCGGCUAACUACGUGCCAGCAGCCGCGGUAAUACGUAG
Molecule: ribosomal RNA, 489 nt
Filed under: uncultured bacterium
Lineage: Bacteria
Description: bacterial SSU rRNA
Rfam family: Bacterial small subunit ribosomal RNA
Source: RNAcentral